UAAGAAUAACACCAACUUGUUGGGGGGAAUAGUGGCGAACGGGUGAGUAAAACCGGGGAUAACCCGCCCUUGACUCUUGGAUAAGCCUGGGAACCUGGUUUUAAUACCGGAUAGGAACGUCCCCCCCAUGGGGGGUGUUGGAAAGAUUUAUCGGUCAUGGAUGGACUCGCGGCCUAUCAGCUUGUUGGUGAGGUAAUGGCUCACCAAGGCGACGACCGGGUAGCCGGCCUGAGAGGGUGACCGGCCCACACUGGGACUGAGACACGGCCCAGACUCCUACGGGAGGCAGCAGUGGGGAAUAUUGCACAAUGGGCGAAAGCCUGAUGCAGCGACCGCCGCGUGAGGGAUGACGGCCUUCGGGUUGUAAACCUCUUUCAGUAGGGAAGAAGCGAAAGUGACGGUACCUGCAGAAGAAGCACCGGCUAACUACGUGCCAGCAGCCGCGGUAAUACGUAGGGUGCGAGCGUUAUCCGGAAUUAUUGGGCGUAAAGAGCUCGUAGGCGGUUUGUCGCGUCUGUCGUGAAAGUCCGGGGCUUAACCCCGGAUCUGCGGUGGGUACGGGCAGACUAGAGUGCAGUAGGGGAGACUGGAAUUCCUGGUGUAGCGGUGGAAUGCGCAGAUAUCAGGAGGAACACCGAUGGCGAAGGCAGGUCUCUGGGCUGUAACUGACGCUGAGGAGCGAAAGCAUGGGGAGCGAACAGGAUUAGAUACCCUGGUAGUCCAUGCCGUAAACGUUGGGCACUAGGUGUGGGGACCAUUCCACGGUUUCCGCGCCGCAGCUAACGCAUUAAGUGCCCCGCCUGGGGAGUACGGCCGCAAGGCUAAAACUCAAAGGAAUUGACGGGGGCCCGCACAAGCGGCGGARCAUGCGGAUUAAUUCGAUGCAACGCGAAGAACCUUACCAAGGCUUGACAUGUUCUCGAUCGCCGUAAAAAUACGGUUUCCCCUUUGGGGCGGGAUCCCAGGUGGUGCAUGGUUGCCCUCACCUCCGGUCCUGGAAAUGUUGGGUUAAGUCCCCCAACCAAGCGCAACCCUCGUUCCAUGUUGCCAGCCCGUAAUGGUGGGGACUCAUGGGAAACUGCCGGGGUCAACUCGGAAGAAGGUGGGGACGACGUCAAAUCAUCAUGCCCCUUAUGGUCUUGGGCUUCACGCAUGSUACAAUGGSCGGUACAAUGGGUUGCGAAUACUGUGAGGUGGAGCUAAUCCCAAAAAGCCGGUCUCAGUUCGGAUUGGGGUCUGCAACUCGACCCCAUGAAGUCGGAAGUCGCUAGUAAUACGCAGAUCAGCAACCCUGGGGGGAAACGUCCCGGCC
RNAcentral lists this ribosomal RNA (1312 nucleotides) under Micrococcus luteus. Its description in RNAcentral is "bacterial SSU rRNA". It matches the Rfam family "Bacterial small subunit ribosomal RNA", at positions 64 to 1380 of the family's 1533-position model. Lineage: Bacteria; Bacillati; Actinomycetota; Actinomycetes; Micrococcales; Micrococcaceae. The record is from RNAcentral.